This is a long non-coding RNA of Monopterus albus (swamp eel), 782 nucleotides long. RefSeq lists it as uncharacterized. The record is from RefSeq and is a predicted model, not a curated record. Lineage: Eukaryota; Metazoa; Chordata; Actinopteri; Synbranchiformes; Synbranchidae. The transcript is spliced from 5 exons.
AGAAGAAAAGUGCAUUUAGAUGUGUAGUUUCCGAAAUAUUUAAAGCCGUUUAGUGACGUAACCCGUUUCCUGUACAUCUCUUGCUGGGAGUAAAAGCUGAGAUUGACUCCAACCUGUCUUUAGCUUAGCUGCCUACAAAGGCAAUGAGCAUGGAGAGUUACUAGCUUCUUCAAAGUAGCAUCAAAGAACAGGUUGGUACUGCUCAGUGGGCUGGGUGUCUUGUCUGAUGCAUCGUCACCCAGCGAGGGGCUGGUGUUACCCAGGGGUGAGCUCUCCAUGCUGUUUGCAUCAGGGUGUCCCUGUGGAGCUGGAAAGGGAAGACGAGGUGUAACUGAUUUGAUGAACGUCAUGAUGUGAAGUAUCCAGAGCAUAUCAGUAAUGUUAAGGAGCCCUUUUCUUCCAACUGUAGACUUGUGCCAUUUGCUACUAGAGGAGGUGAAAGGUCAUCGCUGGUCGCCUGGUCUUUAGGGGCUGGUCGAUCUGAGAUGAAACACACAAAAGCCAAAAGAAACAGAAGAAACCACCAGAACUGGGGCAGAGACAUGGAUGGAGAGAGAAACAAGUGAAGGAUUAAUCAGGCAGAGGAGCUGAGAGCACCUGUGCAGAGCUGCUGCUGCAACACAUUGUCACAUGUGUGAAGACAAGACGAAUGAUGGUGUGAAGAUGUGAGAAGGGGUUUGAGGAGGGCGGGACAGGGCUGACAAAAGAUCACAUAGUUGUUUAGUCCACAUACUGUGACCUAUUUAUAGCGUCGCUGAUUUGGGACCUGAAGCACUAAAACA